Molecule: ribosomal RNA, 252 nt
Filed under: uncultured bacterium
Lineage: Bacteria
Description: partial 16S ribosomal RNA
Rfam family: Bacterial small subunit ribosomal RNA
Source: RNAcentral
UACGGAGGAUGCGAGCGUUAUCCGGAUUUAUUGGGUUUAAAGGGUGCGUAGGCGGAUCGUUAAGUCAGUAGUCAAAUUGAGGGGCUCAACCCCUUCCCGCCAUUGAAACUGGCGAUCUUGAGUGGAAGAGAAGUAUGCGGAAUGCGUGGUGUAGCGGUGAAAUGCAUAGAUAUCACGCAGAACCCCGAUUGCGAAGGCAGCAUGCCGGCUUCCUACUGACGCUGAAGCACGAAAGCGUGGGGAUCGAACAGG